UGGGGAAUAUUGGACAAUGGGCGCAAGCCUGAUCCAGCAACGCCGCGUGGAGGAUGAAGGUCUUCGGAUCGUAAACUCCUGUCAGACGGGACGAAGGUAGUGGGGUGAACAAUCCCGCUGCUUGACGGUACUGUCAGAGGAAGCCCCGGCUAACCCCGUGCCAGCAGCCGCGGUAAUACGGAGGGGGCGAGCGUUAUUCGGAAUUAUUGGGCGUAAAGGGCGCGUAGGCGGCUGUACAAGUCAAAGGUGAAAUCCCUCGGCUCAACUGAGGAACUGCCUUUGAAACUGUACGGCUUGAGGCCGGGAGGGGGUAGCGGAAUUCCCAAUGUAGCGGUGAAAUGCGUAGAUAUUGGGAGGAACACCAGUGGCGAAGGCGGCUACCUGGACCGGUUCUGACGCUGAGGCGCGAAAGCGUGGGUAGCAAAC
RNAcentral lists this ribosomal RNA (426 nucleotides) under uncultured bacterium. RNAcentral describes it as "bacterial SSU rRNA". It matches the Rfam family "Bacterial small subunit ribosomal RNA", at positions 355 to 773 of the family's 1533-position model. The record is from RNAcentral.